Molecule: ribosomal RNA, 1350 nt
Filed under: uncultured Aeromicrobium sp.
Lineage: Bacteria; Bacillati; Actinomycetota; Actinomycetes; Propionibacteriales; Nocardioidaceae
Description: bacterial SSU rRNA
Rfam family: Bacterial small subunit ribosomal RNA
Source: RNAcentral
GACGAACGCUGGCGGCGUGCUUAACACAUGCAAGUCGAGCGGUAAGGCUCCUUCGGGAGUACACGAGCGGCGGAACGGGUGAGUAACACGUGAGCAAUCUGCCCUUCUCUUUGGAAUAACCAUUGGAAACGAUGGCUAAUGCCGAAUAUGACCUCGGAACACAUGUUCUGAGGUGGAAAGCUCCGGCGGAGAAGGAUGAGCUCGCGGCCUAUCAGCUUGUUGGUGAGGUAAUGGCUCACCAAGGCAUUGACGGGUAGCCGGCCUGAGAGGGUGACCGGCCACACUGGGACUGAGACACGGCCCAGACUCCUACGGGAGGCAGCAGUGGGGAAUAUUGGACAAUGGGCGAAAGCCUGAUCCAGCAACGCCGCGUGAGGGAUGAAGGCCUUCGGGUUGUAAACCUCUUUCAGCAGGGACGAAGCGAAAGUGACGGUACCUGCAGAAGAAGGACCGGCCAACUACGUGCCAGCAGCCGCGGUAAUACGUAGGGUCCGAGCGUUGUCCGGAAUUAUUGGGCGUAAAGGGCUCGUAGGCGGUUUGUCACGUCGGGAGUGAAAACUCAGGGCUCAACCCUGAGCGUGCUUUCGAUACGGGCAGACUAGAGGUAUUCAGGGGAGAACGGAAUUCCUGGUGUAGCGGUGGAAUGCGCAGAUAUCAGGAGGAACACCGGUGGCGAAGGCGGUUCUCUGGGAAUUACCUGACGCUGAGGAGCGAAAGCAUGGGGAGCGAACAGGAUUAGAUACCCUGGUAGUCCAUGCCGUAAUCGUUGGGCGCUAGGUGUGGGGACCUUUCCACGGUCUCCGUGCCGCAGCUAACGCAUUAAGCGCCCCGCCUGGGGAGUACGGCCGCAAGGCUAAAACUCAAAGGAAUUGACGGGGGCCCGCACAAGCGGCGGAGCAUGCUGAUUAAUUCGAUGCAACGCGAAGAACCUUACCUGGGUUUGACAUAUACCGGAAAGCUGCAGAGAUGUAGCCCCCUUUUGGUCGGUAUACAGGUGGUGCAUGGCUGUCGUCAGCUCGUGUCGUGAGAUGUUGGGUUAAGUCCCGCAACGAGCGCAACCCUCGUUCUAUGUUGCCAGCACGUAAUGGUGGGGACUCAUAGGAGACUGCCGGGGUCAACUCGGAGGAAGGUGGGGAUGACGUCAAGUCUUCAUGCCCCUUAUGUCCAGGGCUUCAAGCAUGCUACAAUGGCCGGUACAAAGGGCUGCGAAACCGCAAGGUGGAGCGAAUCCCAAAAAGCCGGUCUCAGUUCGGAUUGGGGUCUGCAACUCGGCCCCAUGAAGUCGGAGUCGCUAGUAAUCGCAGAUCAGCAACGCUGCGGUGAAUACGUUCCCGGGCCUUGUACACACCG